RNAcentral lists this ribosomal RNA (736 nucleotides) under Bacillus cereus. Its description in RNAcentral is "bacterial SSU rRNA". It matches the Rfam family "Bacterial small subunit ribosomal RNA", at positions 56 to 772 of the family's 1533-position model. RNAcentral also lists the same sequence under 1 other name. The record is from RNAcentral. Lineage: Bacteria; Bacillati; Bacillota; Bacilli; Caryophanales; Bacillaceae.
UGCAAGUCGAGCGAAUGGAUUAAGAGCUUGCUCUUAUGAAGUUAGCGGCGGACGGGUGAGUAACACGUGGGUAACCUGCCCAUAAGACUGGGAUAACUCCGGGAAACCGGGGCUAAUACCGGAUAACAUUUUGAACCGCAUGGUUCGAAAUUGAAAGGCGGCUUCGGCUGUCACUUAUGGAUGGACCCGCGUCGCAUUAGCUAGUUGGUGAGGUAACGGCUCACCAAGGCAACGAUGCGUAGCCGACCUGAGAGGGUGAUCGGCCACACUGGGACUGAGACACGGCCCAGACUCCUACGGGAGGCAGCAGUAGGGAAUCUUCCGCAAUGGACGAAAGUCUGACGGAGCAACGCCGCGUGAGUGAUGAAGGCUUUCGGGUCGUAAAACUCUGUUGUUAGGGAAGAACAAGUGCUAGUUGAAUAAGCUGGCACCUUGACGGUACCUAACCAGAAAGCCACGGCUAACUACGUGCCAGCAGCCGCGGUAAUACGUAGGUGGCAAGCGUUAUCCGGAAUUAUUGGGCGUAAAGCGCGCGCAGGUGGUUUCUUAAGUCUGAUGUGAAAGCCCACGGCUCAACCGUGGAGGGUCAUUGGAAACUGGGAGACUUGAGUGCAGAAGAGGAAAGUGGAAUUCCAUGUGUAGCGGUGAAAUGCGUAGAGAUAUGGAGGAACACCAGUGGCGAAGGCGACUUUCUGGUCUGUAACUGACACUGAGGCGCGAAAGCGUGGGGAGCAAA